This 72-nucleotide transfer RNA is filed under the name Lodderomyces oxycetoniae. RNAcentral's name for it is "Candida oxycetoniae tRNA-Glu". It matches the Rfam family "tRNA". From Rfam's summary of the family: Transfer RNA (tRNA) molecules are approximately 80 nucleotides in length. Lineage: Eukaryota; Fungi; Ascomycota; Pichiomycetes; Serinales; Debaryomycetaceae. The record is from RNAcentral.
GACCAUAUGAUCUAAUGGUUAUGAUAGGACUUCUUCGUAGUCUUUAUAUGAGUUCAAAUCUCAUUAUGGUUA